Molecule: long non-coding RNA, 1235 nt
Organism: Heterocephalus glaber (naked mole-rat)
Lineage: Eukaryota; Metazoa; Chordata; Mammalia; Rodentia; Bathyergidae
Source: Ensembl
CAGCCACCCCAGGUGUCUGUCCCAGAGCUGCCCCUAAGCCUGACCUCUGAGGGGCCUUGCAGGGAACCCAGCAGCCAGGUGGACUUUUCCAGCUCUGGAUGAAUGUGAACAGGGCCAUGCCUGGGGCCGAGUCAUCGCUUGCUCACCGACCUUCGGGAUCCUCCACCUGAGGGCCAGAAUGCUCUCCGGUGCUCGAGCCCUGUUAGGCCACCUGGUUCCACACUACAAAGACGCAGAGGACAACCGACCACCAGGCCACGGUACUGAGUCCCGCUGCUCCCGGCACAGAGAUGCAUGGUAGGAGGUCUCCAUCUCUUGCCUGGACCCCAGCUCCAUGGGGCAGACAGCAUGUGCCUGGCACACAAGAACACAAUAAAUACCGACUGCAAGGGACACAAAGGUAACUGGGGCAGGAUGCGUGGCCUGGUGUGGAUGCUCAAUGCAAUGAGCUACUAUUGUUCACUGAGCCAUGAAGGGGGAGGCGGGGCCUGAGAUCCACAGCCUCCGCGGUUUGUGCAUGAGGAUAGGCAGGUGCACCCCUCCUUUCCGGAGGCUGUCCCCCCCAGGCCCCUCCCAGCGCUGUGGCAAGGUAGGCCCCAGUGGCCAGCUUGGCAGAGGGGCGUGAGGGCCCUGCCACGUGCUCCUCCCCCAGAACAGGGGGCAGGCUGCUCUCUGGCCCACGCUGGAAAGGGGGGCAGAGGCCAGGUCCCCUCCCUGGAGCCCGCACCCUGGUGAGGGAGGCCUUGAGAGCUGGUUUCCUUCCUGCAUCAGGGCUCUGUAUUGACAGAGCUCCUCUAUAGCAGGCCCAGGGCUCGCAGCUCAUGGGUGUGAAAAAACCUUGCCCAGGACACAGUGGACUGACUGGAUCCCGAUGUGGAUCCACAGACAGGAAGGCAGAUGAAGCCAGUUCUUCAUCCUGGGCCAGGGAGGCUUAGACUGGAGGUCACAUGGUCCUGUCAGGCUCUUCCUGGUUACCUGCACAGGGCUCUGGCCAGGCGCCUCCCUGAAGGAGCCAGGAAACACCCUCACCGAAUCCCCCUCCAGACAAAAGCUCCCCCUACCCUGGCACCCACCGAGGACGCCCCAGAGAAAGCCCCACUUCAGGUCGCCGUACCCGCGGCAACAAGGGUGGGUGGCAGCCAUCAGGGUGGCGGGAAGAUGUCUGCGCACUGCUGCAGGAUGAGCUCCACCACCUGGUUCUGGAACACCAUGGUCAUGGGCAUGCUGCCCUCCUC